UUAUUGGAGAGUUUGAUCCUGGCUCAGGACGAACGCUGGCGGCGUGCCUAAUACAUGCAAGUCGAGCGGACAGAUGGGAGCUUGCUCCCUGAUGUUAGCG
This 100-nucleotide ribosomal RNA is filed under the name Bacillus atrophaeus. RNAcentral describes it as "partial 16S ribosomal RNA". It matches the Rfam family "Bacterial small subunit ribosomal RNA", at positions 1 to 97 of the family's 1533-position model. The record is from RNAcentral. Lineage: Bacteria; Bacillati; Bacillota; Bacilli; Caryophanales; Bacillaceae.